AAUGAACGCUGGCGGCAGGCCUAACACAUGCAAGUCGAACGAAGCCUUCGGGCUUAGUGGCGGACGGGUGAGUAACGCGUGGGAACAUACCCAAAGGUACGGAAUAGCCUCGGGAAACUGGGAGUAAUACCGUAUGUGCCCUUUGACUGUAGUGGUUGGAGGGGAAAGAUUUAUCGCCUUUGGAUUGGCCCGCGUUGGAUUAGGUAGUUGGUGGGGUAAUGGCCUACCAAGCCGACGAUCCAUAGCUGGUUUGAGAGGAUGAUCAGCCACACUGGGACUGAGACACGGCCCAGACUCCUACGGGAGGCAGCAGUGGGGAAUCUUAGACAAUGGGCGCAAGCCUGAUCUAGCCAUGCCGCGUGAUUGAUGAAGGCCUUAGGGUUGUAAAGAUCUUUCAGAUGGGAAGAUAAUGACGGUC
Molecule: ribosomal RNA, 418 nt
Filed under: uncultured bacterium
Lineage: Bacteria
Description: bacterial SSU rRNA
Rfam family: Bacterial small subunit ribosomal RNA
Source: RNAcentral